RNAcentral lists this ribosomal RNA (497 nucleotides) under uncultured bacterium. Its description in RNAcentral is "partial 16S ribosomal RNA". It matches the Rfam family "Bacterial small subunit ribosomal RNA", at positions 28 to 507 of the family's 1533-position model. The record is from RNAcentral.
GAUGAACGCUGGCGGCGUGCCUAAUACAUGCAAGUCGAGCGAACAGACGAGGAUCUUGCUCCUCUUACGUUAGCGGCGGACGGGUGAUUAACACGUGGAUAACCUACCUAUAAGACUGGGAUAACUUCGGGAAACCGGAGCUACUACCGGAUAAUAUAUUGAACCGCAUGGUUCUUUAGUGAAAGACGGUUUUGCUGUCCCUUAUAUAUUUAUCCUCGCCGCAUUAGCUAGUUGGUAAGGUAACGGCUUACCAAGGCAACGAUGCGUAGCCGACCUGAGAGGAUGAUCGGCCACACUGGAACUGAGACACGGUCCAGACUCCUACGGGAGGCAGCAGUAGGGAAUCUUCCGCAAUGGGCGAAAGCCUGACGGAGCAACGCCGCGUGAGUGAUGAAGGUCUUCGGAUCGUAAAACACUGUUAUUAGGGAAGAACAAAUGUGUAAGUAACUAUGCACGUCUUGACGGUACCUAAUCAGAAAGCAACGGCUAACUGCGUG